Molecule: ribosomal RNA, 492 nt
Filed under: uncultured bacterium
Lineage: Bacteria
Description: partial 16S ribosomal RNA
Rfam family: Bacterial small subunit ribosomal RNA
Source: RNAcentral
AGUGAACGCUGGCGGUAGGCCUAACACAUGCAAGUCGAACGGCAGCACAGUAAGAGCUUGCUCUUACGGGUGGCGAGUGGCGGACGGGUGAGGAAUACAUCGGAAUCUACUUUUUCGUGGGGGAUAACGUAGGGAAACUUACGCUAAUACCGCAUACGACCUACGGGUGAAAGCAGGGGAUCUUCGGACCUUGCGCGAUUGAAUGAGCCGAUGUCGGAUUAGCUAGUUGGCGGGGUAAAGGCCCACCAAGGCGACGAUCCGUAGCUGGUCUGAGAGGAUGAUCAGCCACACUGGGACUGAGACACGGUCCAGGCUCCUACGGGAGGCAGCAGUGGGGAAUAUUGGACAAUGGGCGCAAGCCUGAUCCAUCCAUACCGCGUGGGUGAAGAAGGCCUUCGGGUUGUAAAGCCCUUUUGUUGGGAAAGAAAAGCAGCAGGUUAAUACCCCGCUGUUCUGACGGUACCCAAAGAAUAAGCACCGGCUAACUUCGUG